RNAcentral lists this long non-coding RNA (4557 nucleotides) under Canis lupus familiaris (dog). RNAcentral describes it as "lncRNA (ENSCAFG00000055976.1, ENSCAFG00805007686.1, ENSCAFG00845010901.1)". The record is from RNAcentral. Lineage: Eukaryota; Metazoa; Chordata; Mammalia; Carnivora; Canidae.
UUUUUGGUGAUGAUGGAGAGUCGCUGUAGGUUCACUGACUACAGUAACAAAUGCCCCGCUCUGCCGGGGAUGCUGACGGACGAGAAGAGGCUGCGCGUGGCAGGGAAGGGCAUACAGGAAAUCUCUGGUCUCGGCUCAAUUUUGCGAUGACUCUAGAAGCUGCUCUAAAAAACAAAGUCCGAAAAAAAAUUUUUUUAAUAUAAAUAAAUAAAUAAAAAUAAAAAAAUAAUAAAUAAUAAAAAUAAUAAAAAUAAAAAACAAAGCCCGUUGAAAGAAAAAAAUCAGAAACGUGGGGAUAAAAAAUUAAAAGAGAAACUUAAAAUCCAAUAGAAAGGGUUUAAAAGGCAGCCUGGCAUAGCGUACACGCUAGAACAGCCGAAGACCAGAUACUAAACAGGAGACACGGGUAGCUGGAGAACCGGUCCCAGAGCCUAACAACCAAACAAACGCUCCUCUGGAAAGAGACAAGGAGAAGGUGAAAGCAAAGAAAUUAAAGGAUUAACUCAAAUAUACGUCCCGGGCCCGAAGGACGUGGGUUUCCCAGCUGGAAGGGACUCGCGCUGUACCCCGCGCAAUAGAUGGAGACGCCCUCCCCCCAACAAGGCACGUCUUCAAGAGACCUUCAAACACAUACAGAGAAUAUCCCAGAAGCUUCUAGACAAGAAAAACAAAAAAAGAGAAUCAAGAAUCGAAUUAGAAAAAAAAAAAAAGAUCGAAUUAGGUCCAUCCUCAACCCCGCUCUGCCUAAAGGCGGCGGCAGCCUUUGGGCCUUGGGGCUCAAGGAUCUCCAGUUAGGAGUCUGUGCUCGGACGAGCGGAUCUGCGGGACAAUAAGGAUGUUUCCAGACACACGAGGUCUCCAGAAUCUGCAGGACCCUGUUUGGGGGAGCCCAGCGUGGAACGUUCUCCAUCCCACUGGGGGAACAAAGCGGGAGGGUCACGGGAUCCUAGACGGGCCGCGGGCGCCCUCAGGUUCACGGGGAAGGCAGGCCGCGGGGGCAGGGCGUGGGCAGGGCGUGCUAGGAACGGCAGCCAGGGCCCACGCAGACGGUGUGGAGUGGCGGACAGGACAGCGAGCGCGGGGCCCUCCCACUCGGGGCGCCCCUGAGCCCCAGCAGCGCAAGUGCAGGGCGGCCACGGACAGAGGCCAACCCCUCGCUUCCACGCGCAGAAGUCAAAGAACCCAUACGAGAAACGGGGGACACCUGCUUAGAAAAUACGGGUCAACAGGGCAGGAAAGAGGAAGCCCGAGAGGCCCGUUGCUUCCGGGGAGCCGGCCGUCGAAUCCGCGUACAUCCUUCCAAUCACAGAAUAGAACCAAUCUCACAAGGGUCCGCCCCGGGGGAAGGCUGCAAAGGGAGGGACCCCGCGUGGCGGCGGGCCAGGGGGGCAGGGGACAGAGCCUGCCCUACAGAGCCUGUCUGUGCCCACGGCAGCCCCGCAGGCCCAGGGUGGGGAGAUGGUCCAGCUGGGGCGCACGGAGCCCCAUCCGCCCUUAUCCUUCCCCCAAAGCUCCCACACAACACUGGGGAGACGUGGGCCGAGGUCUCACCUUCAUGUUUCUCUAGAAACAUCCUAACCAGGUUUCCAUGCAGUCACAGAAUUUGGGGGAAGAGAGGACAGCAUCCUUGGAGAAGCAGCCUGAAGGCUCCUAGGGAACCCAGCUGGGCCAGGCAGGGCCACAGAGGACACAGAGCGGGCCCUGCACACCACUCAGCUCAACCUCCCGCCUGGUGGCAAGAUUCCAAGCAGGGGCCCAGGGCUGGAGCAAGGUGCGUCCUCAAACCAGGGGAGUCCUGGUCCUACAAGCCCCAGUUCGGAGCAGCUUUCCAGUCACCGCGAGCUUGGUGACGCAGGCGUUCCUAAAACGACCACCGUCAGAUACGUGAUCUGAGAAAAGUUCUCACGCCAAGGGGAGUUCUCAACUCAUCAAUGGCGGGAAGACUCCCAGGGAUGACAGCUAAAAAAUAAAUAAACAAGCAAACCAAAGGCCCAGCUCAUCGGAGAAGUGAGUGUCCGCGGGGUCCCAUGUGGGAUCCAGGUGACUUGUGGUCAGUAGCCCUGGAUGUCCUCCCUGGUGGCUCCCGUGUGACAAGACAAAAAAAAGGCACGCGGGGGCCCUUCGGGCACCCCUCACAGUUCUGUAUUUUCAGAGCCCACGCCCCCCCCCACCAGGGUGGUGUGCCUGAAAGUUCCGGACAGGCCCAGAUGGAGCACGGUCACCUCAGGCUUCUACUUGCGGUGACAAAGACAUGGGAAGGUCCCAGCUGCCAGCCUUGCUUCCAGGGGACAGCAAAGACUCAACAUUGAGGGCCAGCACACAUCCAGGUCUUCCAGGCCCACGCUCUCAGAGCUCACGUUACUCGCAAGACUACAGCUGCCGGGGUCUGGGCCCAUCGACCCGGCUCAAAAACCCAGCCAGGACUCAGGGAGAUGAGGGCGCCACCAGCAUGGCCCUGGGCAGUGCACAGAGCCCCUUCCCAGGGCCAUGGUCAGCCCACCAGGACCAAGGGUCCACGCUCACUUCAUCCCAGCCAGCCUGUGCCUCUGAGAGAGACUCCGGGCACCAACCGACCUCAGGGACCUGAAAAUAGAUGCCACCAGGCCCCACAUGCCUGAGACCAGGGGUGUCCCUGCAUAUGAUGGUGCAGCCCAUCUGAGCCCGCGCGUCUCCACAGUCGGCACCAUCUCCAUGGUUUCCACUAUCUCCAAGGUCUCCACGGUCUGCACCGCCUCCACGGUCUCCACCUGUCUCCACCGUCUUCACCCGUCUCCACUGGUCUCCACUGGUCUCCACGGUCUGCACCGUCUCCACCGUCUCCACCCAUCUCCACCAUCUGCACCUGUCUCCACUGUCUCCAAGGUCUCCACUGCCUCCACCCAUCUCUACCAUCUGCACCCGUCUCUACCAUCUCCACGGUCUCCACUGUCUCCAAGGUCUCCACGGUCUCCACCCAUCUCCACCGUCUGCAUCCGACUCCACGGACGGUCUCCACCGUCUCUACCGUCUCCAAGGUCUCCACAAUCUUCACCCAUCUCCGCCAUCUCCACAGUCUCCAUCCAUCUCCAGUCUCCACCAUCUCCAAGGUCUCCACAGUCUUCACCCAUCUCUACCGGUCUCCACCGUCUCCACUGUCUCAUUCCAGAUCACAGGGGACCAGCUGUUGAUGCCCUCAGCUAUCAUCUGGGCCAAUGGCUUUGCCCCCAGGGAAUGUGGACCGUCCACCACCCAUCUUUACUCUUGGACUCCCACCGGUGAGGAGCUCCAGCCUUCGCGCUACGGGGAGGCCACAGAAGGAUUCGUACGGGGCCUGGUGCUCAAAGCAGGCUACGGUCAGGUGAGCAGGUGUGCUAGGGCGCAUAGGCACGGAGCACUGGCAGGCAAAGGGAUGCGAGGCGGAGUCCUCCUCCUAGCAGACAUUGCGGAUUAACAGCAGGAUAAUCAAGCACGCAAGCCGCUCAAAGUCCAGGCCGAGUGUGCCCACAAGCGGUGCGUCCGAGCGCUCGCCAAGUGCCACACGCCACACAGGAGCCACACGACUCCCACAGCCCUGGCUGGUAAACACACCUCUGACACUCGUUCGUGGAUGAGCUUGGGUAGCCUGCCUGCUAUGGCUCGCGACACCGACAGCAGCGAAACAGGAGAUCCGGGGGUCAAACUGGGGCAGCAGGCCUCCUGCAAACGUCAGCUCAAGCCACUUCCCUGCGCUGAGCAGAAAAGGAGCGGAUUCCUCCCCGGCACCUGUUCCCAAAGACGAUGCCAGAACACGCCAUCCACUCUGCUGCCCCAGCCCAAGUCCAUCCUCAGGCUGAGGAUCUCACACUCAAGCAAACUCCACGUCAAGUCCACAUUUAAAUUCAACGGUUGACAAACAGGAAUGACACCCCAGUUUCCCCAGCGGCAUCCAGCGGUGAUGAACCAACCAACCUCACGUCCCAUGUCCCGGGCAGGCGUCCCAUCUCCACCUGGACACAGGGCUGUCUCCGCCAGGGCACAGGCAGAAAGGGAGAUCCCGUCAGAGCCAGUGAACCCCCAAAGCAGAGUCAGAACUGCUCGUUCCUGCGAUGACCGUCCAUGAGGCCGGGGCAGGGCCGUCCGGGCUGCCAUCUCCAAGGACACUCACACGGUGUCCCUUCCCGUCAUUAGAGGGGAGCAGUCAGCCUUCGAGGAGCUGGCAGUUUUAUGCUUCCCCUGCUUUCACCUCCUUCCAGUUAACUGUGAUGCCCAGGAGCAGGGACAAGUUCAGAAGCUCCUCAAAGCCAGGGCGGGCAGUGGGGGCAAGGGUGUCCCCGCCAGAGGCCAGACAGGGAGAAGACAGGGGAGCACACAGCUCCCCAGAAGAGGGCGGCUAAAACGCAAACACAGGCCAGCCGCCCGCCAGCACCCGAAUGGGUGAGAUGUACUCCCCCCGUGAGCGCACAGACCUCCUACAAGAUUGCCAGAUCCCCGGGAGCCUGCCUGCCAAGCCUCGCCCACCAAGGAGCUCUACUAUCUUUAAUUUCUUCUAUCGUUCCCCAUAAUUCUACAGUUGAGCAAAAAAAAAAAAAAAAAAAAAAA